RNAcentral lists this ribosomal RNA (497 nucleotides) under uncultured bacterium. RNAcentral describes it as "partial 16S ribosomal RNA". It matches the Rfam family "Bacterial small subunit ribosomal RNA", at positions 28 to 507 of the family's 1533-position model. The record is from RNAcentral.
GAUGAACGCUGGCGGCGUGCCUAAUACAUGCAAGUCGAGCGAACAGACGAGGAGCUUGCUCCUCUGAUGUUAGCGGCGGACGGGUGAGUAACACGUGGAUAACCUACCUAUAAGACUGGGAUAACUUCGGGAAACCGGAGCUAAUACCGGAUAACAUGUUGAACCGCAUGGUUCAACAGUGAAAGACGGUCUUGCUGUCACUUAUAGAUGGAUCCGCGCCGCAUUAGCUAGUUGGUAAGGUAACGGCUUACCAAGGCAACGAUGCGUAGCCGACCUGAGAGGGUGAUCGGCCACACUGGAAAUGAGACACGGUCCAGACUCCUACAGGAGGCAGCAGUAGGGAAUCUUCCGCAAUGGGCGAAAGCCUGACGGAGCAACGCCGCGUGAGUGAAGAAGGUCUUAGGAUCGUAAAACUCUGUUAUUAGGGAAGAACAAAUGUGUAAGUAGCUAUGCACGUCUUGACGGUACCUAAUCAGAAAGCCACGGCUAACUACGUG